This is a non-coding RNA of Acanthosepion pharaonis, 110 nucleotides long. NCBI's taxonomy places the organism in Eukaryota, Metazoa, Mollusca, Cephalopoda, Sepiida, Sepiidae. The record is from the annotation of a GenBank genome assembly.
CAGCCACAUCACGUUAAAACACCACUUCCUGUACGAACACCGAAGUUAAGCAAUGUCGAGCCAGGUCAGUACUAGAUGGGUGUGCGCUUAGGAAUAUCAGAUGCUGUAAG